RNAcentral lists this ribosomal RNA (433 nucleotides) under uncultured bacterium. Its description in RNAcentral is "partial 16S ribosomal RNA". It matches the Rfam family "Bacterial small subunit ribosomal RNA", at positions 29 to 507 of the family's 1533-position model. The record is from RNAcentral.
AGCGAACGCUGGCGGCAUGCCUAACACAUGCAAGUCGAACGAACUCUUCGGAUUUAGUGGCGGACGGGUGCGUAACACGUGGGAACGUGCCUUUUGGUUCGGAAUAACUCCGGGAAACUUGUGCUAAUACCGAAUGUGCUCUUCGGGCCAAAGAUUUAUCGCCAUUAGAUCGGCCCGCGUCUGAUUAGCUAGUUGGUGAGGUAACGGCUCACCAAGGCGACGAUCAGUAGCUGGUCUGAGAGGAUGACCAGCCACACUGGGACUGAGACACGGCCCAGACUCCUACGGGAGGCAGCAGUGGGGAAUCUUGCGCAAUGGGCGAAAGCCUGACGCAGCCAUGCCGCGUGAAUGAUGAAGGUCUUAGGAUUGUAAAAUUCUUUCACCGGGGACGAUAAUGACGGUACCCGGAGAAGAAGCCCCGGCUAACUUCGUG